UUACGGCCAUAAUAACGUUGAAACACCGGUUUCCGUAUGAUCAUUGAAGUUAAGCAACCUUGAAGUCGGCCAGUACUUAGAUGGGUGAAACCUUUGGAAACCCAGAUGCUGUAAG
Acanthosepion pharaonis is the source of this 115-nucleotide non-coding RNA. NCBI's taxonomy places the organism in Eukaryota, Metazoa, Mollusca, Cephalopoda, Sepiida, Sepiidae. The record is from the annotation of a GenBank genome assembly.